This is a long non-coding RNA of Lytechinus variegatus (green sea urchin), 1622 nucleotides long. RefSeq lists it as uncharacterized. The transcript is spliced from 2 exons. The record is from RefSeq and is a predicted model, not a curated record. NCBI's taxonomy places the organism in Eukaryota, Metazoa, Echinodermata, Echinoidea, Temnopleuroida, Toxopneustidae.
ACUAUUAAACAAGUACUGUCAGGUUCAUAUAGUAACCAGCAAUAUAUUAAAUUUAAACAGCAUUUUCACGGUGUGCGAGUAAAUCAGAAAUACAGUAAUAAAUGACACAAGUGUAUUUAGAAGCCAUUAGGAUUUAUUUGCAUUUGAAGAUAGUUGCAAAUUUGAUUUUCAAUCAUAGUCAAGUCAUCUGGCAAACCUCAUUCAACAAUGACAUCGACAAUAUAAUAUUCAUUUUACAUUUACACUGAUAUAUUAUAAUGAUUUCACAGAUAUCUAGAAAAUAAUGAUUCUAUGGACAUAUACACACAUAUCUUACAUAUACAACUAGCAAAAUUUACUACAGUAAAGCCUAUCAUCUAAUAAAUAAAAUAAAAUAUUUACAUACCUCAUGUACAAGUAUAUAAUGAAUAAGAAAUCAACAGAUUCUAUGGAGGGAAAAGGUAGAUAUUUCUAUAUCAUUUAUCAUAACUGAUUUAUAAAUAUAUUUCAACCAGUCUUCAAAAAAAUAAAUAAUCAUAAACCAAUAAAUACCCUUGAUUAUAAAACCCUAAAUUCGGUCAUCCAUAAAAAAGUAAAAAAUUUAACAAUAUUUACUAUUUCCUGUACUUCACAAGUCAAAUAUAUUGAAUGGCAUAUAUCAAAAUCAAAGAUUUUUUUCUUAUUCCAUUAUUUUAUCAAUGCUGUAUUAUCACAUCUAUAUUUUCUUGAUAAUCAUGAAAUGUAAAGACAUAUUGGAUCUAAUAAAGAAUGAUGAAGAAAGGAAUUAGCUCUUUCCAAAAAAAAAAAAAAAUCAGAAAUUGAUAGAGACAUAAUCACAAAAUAAAGCAUCUUUCAAAAUCUUGGAAUUAUUUUUAUUGUAAGGCAUUUUGAUUGAGAUGAAAGACCUGUAAAGGCACAGAAUAGAACUCUGGAAUGAUUUCAGAUCAAUGCAUUAAGCUCCUUUCAAAAACGUUUUAACAGAUAUACAGCAUUACACAAAUGCUGUGAAACAUCAUCACUUAGGUGAAUAUCAUAAAUCACUAAAAAUUCAUUUAUGUAGUGCAAUGUAUACAAUCAUGUAGAAUAAUUCAAAAGUAACUACACAUAUAGUUAUUCCUGUAGAAAUAUGAAUUUGCUCCCCCAAAAAAACAAAAAAAAAAAAAAAUCAUGAAAGAUUUUUUCCCUUAAUACUCUCUCUAAUUAUACAUUAUUGCAUUUUCCUCCAGAUUUCAAGUUCAUCCACCCCUCUCACAUUUUUUUCCUUAUGGCCCUGGGACCAAACCAACCACAAAAUUAUUCUACAUUGUACAAAUAAAAUAGAUAUUUAUGUAGUGGAAUCCAAUUAGAACACAGUAUUGCUACAACAAAAGACCUGCAGAAUAUUGUAAAGUAACCCUUUUUGUGUUUUUAACAAUAUUGAAAAUGGAAUAAAGUUCAUUGAUUCCUCAUUAGCCAAAAGACAUUCAUUCACCACUAUUCACACAAGACAAAACAUUAAUAAAAGAUACAUGUUGGCAAUAGCAAGCUUAAGUCACUGACAGUCAAGAUGAACAAGAAAAAAAUGUACAAGAAUUUUCUUUUUGGUUUGUGCUAUGCAUAAUAAUGAUUUAUAAGCACUUAGAUAAGUACAGUGGAUGUCUCAA